This 260-nucleotide ribosomal RNA is filed under the name uncultured Synergistaceae bacterium. Its description in RNAcentral is "partial 16S ribosomal RNA". It matches the Rfam family "Bacterial small subunit ribosomal RNA", at positions 1125 to 1382 of the family's 1533-position model. The record is from RNAcentral. Lineage: Bacteria; Thermotogati; Synergistota; Synergistia; Synergistales; Synergistaceae.
UAGAGCCGGGCGACUCUGGCGGGACUGCAUCGACAAGAAUGGAGGAAGGUGGGGAGUGACGUCAAGUCAUCAUGGCCCUUAUGUCCAGGGCGACACACGUGCUACAAUGGCCGGCACAGCGGGAAGCGAGGCAGUGAUGCCAAGCGGAUCCCUUAAAGCCGGUCUCAGUUCGGAUUGAAGUCUGCAACUCGACUUCAUGAAGCUGGAAUCGCUAGUAAUCGCAGAUCAGCCAAGCUGCGGUGAAUACGUUCCCGGGCCUU